UGGGGUGUCGCCAAGCGGUAAGGCACAAGACUUUGACUCUUGCAUCUCGCUGGUUCGAAUCCAGCCACUCCAGCCA
Molecule: transfer RNA, 76 nt
Filed under: Clostridiales bacterium
Lineage: Bacteria; Bacillati; Bacillota; Clostridia; Eubacteriales
Also listed under: 1 other name
Description: tRNA-Gln
Rfam family: tRNA
About the family: Transfer RNA (tRNA) molecules are approximately 80 nucleotides in length. Their secondary structure includes four short double-helical elements and three loops (D, anti-codon, and T loops).
Source: RNAcentral